This is a long non-coding RNA of Cyprinus carpio (common carp), 174 nucleotides long. RefSeq lists it as uncharacterized. NCBI's taxonomy places the organism in Eukaryota, Metazoa, Chordata, Actinopteri, Cypriniformes, Cyprinidae. The transcript has 3 exons. The record is from RefSeq and is a predicted model, not a curated record.
GCCCCGGCCGGUCUUAUGAGUUACCUCAGGUCAGACUUCGCCUAUUUUUUUCUUCCUGACAGUAGUUGCCUCAGGCGGCGCCCGGUUAAUGUUGGUCCGUCAUUGUUAUCACUCCGGUGGCGGGCAAGUUAGUCAUUUCAAUUUUCCUGCUUCGUCUUCGUGUUGCCUCGGGUC